This 61-nucleotide transfer RNA is filed under the name Macrovipera schweizeri. RNAcentral describes it as "tRNA-His". The record is from RNAcentral. Lineage: Eukaryota; Metazoa; Chordata; Lepidosauria; Squamata; Viperidae. RNAcentral also lists the same sequence under 1 other name.
GUGUGUGUAAUUUAAAAAAAAUAUCAAGCUGUGACCCUGAAAAUAGACGUUCUCACACACC